Chrysemys picta bellii (western painted turtle) is the source of this 1606-nucleotide long non-coding RNA. NCBI's taxonomy places the organism in Eukaryota, Metazoa, Chordata, Testudines, Emydidae. The record is from Ensembl.
UUGUGAAGAAUCCAUUCCAUGAUCUGUACCAGUCUUUUAGAGUACCGAGUAUAGCAGCUAGGUCAUGUUAGUCCAUUCCAGGUUUUGGUUUUGACUGGAGAACUCAGCUACAAAUACAUGCUGUGUUCAGUGAGCUAGUGCUCCCUGGAAUUUUACUUUAAAAACUACAUACUGCAUCUGUGUGAUUCUUUCCAGAAGCUUCUAAUCAGUUAGGACACAGCAGGAGCCUUGCAUUAUCAUGGCCACUUGAGAUGUACCUGCAACUCUCUUUGACAGGCAGGCAUUUUGUCAAUGGAAGUUUCAGGCAAACAUUUGAGGGUGAAAUUUGACAGAAAACUGAUGGAAGGGCUUUAGCUGUGAGAGAGCCUUGACUCUGGAAUUCACUCCUGUACUCCUGAGUCUGUUAACCAUUCAGACACACUGCAAAGCCUAUUCCUGAGGGAGGAGUAUCAGAUGAUCUAGUAGUUCUGGGUGGCUUCAGCUUGAUUUUCAUUGUUUGGUUGGCUAUUUUCUGGGUUUGCGGGUGAGGAGAGAUUGCUGGAUUUACUCCUGUUUGUACAGAUGUCAAAAGAUCUUUGGAUAGGUGCUUUUAUUCUUUACAUAUGCAUUGAAAGAUACUCAAAUAAAAUCUGCACAAGAUGAAUAUUUCUGACUAUCUUCAAGCAAUUGGCAGUUGACCGCAUUGCAUGGCACCGCCCUGUAGGGUGGAUGUCCAUGACAUUGAGAAGAACCGUGUUGCUCAGCUGGAAGCACAAUGCCAGUUACUACGAGCCCCAGUCAUGGACCAGGACCCUUGCAGGACUCUUCUCACACCCACACCCACACCGCUCUGCCAAAAAUCCCUGGACACAUCCAAGCGCUGCCCCAUCUCUGUCCCUGCCUCCCACAGCCCUUCAGCAAGAGUCUGUCGCAGGGAAGGUGGGUCAGGAACUCACCAGCUGUCUGCGGAGCCCCAGGCAUCUCAUGCCCUGGCUGGGCAGAAGCAGGGGAACUGCCCAGGAAGAACCCUGGUGACUGAACGCCACAGCUGCCUCCACAGACAAGAGCCGCUUCCAGUACCAUGCACACCGGCCCCACAUGUCUCCAGAGGCACUGCCCAGAGCCCCCAAAGAGGCUGUGCAGUCAAGGCACCAAUCCCUGCUGGCAGCACCAGUGCAAACACCAAGAUGGUGCAUCUCGCUGCCCUUGGUAACAGCUAUUCAGGAGCAACGGCUGGGUGCUGCAGGGAAGGAGUGCUGGUUUCCAGGAGGGUAGACUGCAGGGGUGGGGUUGUGAGUCGAGCCAUUCAGGGGUAGCUGAAACUUUAACUUGUGCCCCUCCACUAUCAACAUAUACAGUUUGGGGAAGCAAGGCCCUCUAUAUCCUUCUUCCUCUCCCCCUCCCCCAAUCUCUGCCUAUGCUUUGGAGGCUGCUGUGGCAGUAAAAAAAGCCUUUGGUGGCCAUAUUUGAGAAACGCUGACCUAGAUACACCAACCUACUUCACCUAAGCGAAUAGGGUCUGCUCCUGAAAUUUCUUCCCCCAGGUCAUCAACAGAUGGCAGGCAAGAGCUUUCAGACCUUGACUUAUAAUAAUAAAGGGUUUAUCAUGACACUGCUAUGCUUGUCA